UACGUAGGGGGCGAGCGUUGUCCGGAUUUAUUGGGCGUAAAGAGCUCGUAGGCGGCUUGGCAAGUCGGCGUGUGAAACCCCCAGGCUUAACCUGGGGACGCCACUCGAAACUGCCAUGGCUAGAGUCCGGCAGGGGAUCACGGAAUUCCUGGUGUAGCGGUGAAAUGCGCAGAUAUCAGGAGGAACACCAGUGGCGAAGGCGGUGAUCUGGGCCGGUACUGACGCUGAGGAGCGAAAGCGUGGGGAGCGAACAGG
RNAcentral lists this ribosomal RNA (255 nucleotides) under uncultured bacterium. RNAcentral's name for it is "partial 16S ribosomal RNA". It matches the Rfam family "Bacterial small subunit ribosomal RNA", at positions 524 to 776 of the family's 1533-position model. The record is from RNAcentral.